CAGUAGCCGCGGUAAAACGAGGGGUGCAAGCGUUAUUCGGAUUGAUUGGGUGUAAAGGGUGUGCAGACGGCUUAUUAAGUCACUUGUUAAAUUCUUCGGCCUAACUGAAGGUCUGCAAGUGAUACUGAUGAGCUAGAGGGUGGAAGAGAGAAGUGGAAUUCUCGGAGUAGCGGUAAAAUGCGUAGAUCUCGAGAGGAACACCAAUGGCGAAGGCAGCUUCUUGGUCCAUUCCUGACGUUCCUACACGAAAGCGUGGAGAGCAAACAGGAUUAGAUACCCCCGUAGUCCCUGUCUCUUAUAC
Molecule: ribosomal RNA, 301 nt
Filed under: uncultured bacterium
Lineage: Bacteria
Description: partial 16S ribosomal RNA
Rfam family: Bacterial small subunit ribosomal RNA
Source: RNAcentral